CCUGAGCUCACCUGGGAUCAUCUGAGCUCACCUGGUCCCACCUGGGCUCACCUGGGAUCACCUGAGCUCACCUGGUCCCCCCUGAGCUCACCUGGGAUCAUCUGGACUCACCUGGUCCCCCCUGAGCUCACCUGGGAUCAUCUGAGCUCACCUGGUCCCCCCUGAGCUCACCUGGGCUCACCUGGGAUCAUCUGAGCUCACCUGGGAUCAUCUGGACUCACCUGGUCCCCCCUGAGCUCACCUGGUCCCCCCUGAGCUCACCUGGGAUCAUCUGGGAUCAUCUGAGCUCACCUGGGAUCAUCUGGACUCACCUGGUCCCACCUGGGCUCACCUGGUUCCCCCUGAGCUCACCUGGUCCCACCUGAGCUCACCUGGUCCCCCCUGAGCUCACCUGGGAUCAUCUGAGCUCACCUGGUCCCCCCUGAGCUCACCUGGUCCCCUCUGAGCUCACCUGGGAUCAUCUGAGCUCACCUGGGAUCAUCUGAGCUCACCUGGUCCCACCUGAGCUCACCUGGGCUCACCUGGUCUCACCUGGGAUCAUCUGAGCUCACCUGGGAUCAUCUGAGCUUACCUGGUCCCCCCUGAGCUCACCUGGGCUCACCUGGGCUCACCUGGUCCCCCCUGAGCUCACCUGGUCCCCCCUGAGCUCACCUGGGCCGUGUCGUGUCCCAGAUUCCGUGGAGGACGUGCUCGCGGAUCUCCUGGGAUUCGAUGGUAAAAUGGGACCCUCUGGAUCUGCCCCGGGGUCACCUGGGGGGAAACACCUGAGCUUGGGAUCACCUGGGGAGGAUCACCUGGAGGGAAUCACCUGAGGGGCAUCACCUGUCCUGGGAUCACCUGGGUGGAAUCACCUGUCCUGGGAUCACCUGGAGGGAAUUCCCCAUCCCCCCGAUCCCAAGUCCCUCCCUUGUUCCCAGAGGAUCCUCCCGUUCCCCUUUCCUGCGGAUCCCGACUCACCUGCGCCCAGGUGAGCUCCAGGGGGGCCCUGGAGGAGGAUCCCGGUGGGAAAUUCCCUGAAGAUGACGUGGGAGAGACGCAGGACCUGGAUGAUCUGGAUGCAGAAAUCCUGGGAAUCUCCAGAUCCAGGCCCAGGCUGGCGGGAGCUGGGACAGGGGCAGGGAAAAGCCUUGGGAAGCAGCUGGAUCCUGAGGAAGUGCCCCCCCCAGGGGUGGCCUCGGUGACCUCGUGGAUUCCCCGGGAGGAGCCGGGAAAGCCCCGGGAAUGUCGGACAGGUGAGGGCCUGGGGGGACAGCACAGGGACAGGG
RNAcentral lists this long non-coding RNA (1265 nucleotides) under Manacus vitellinus (golden-collared manakin). Its description in RNAcentral is "lncRNA (ENSMVIG00005004094.1)". Lineage: Eukaryota; Metazoa; Chordata; Aves; Passeriformes; Pipridae. The record is from RNAcentral.